Heterocephalus glaber (naked mole-rat) is the source of this 622-nucleotide long non-coding RNA. The record is from Ensembl. NCBI's taxonomy places the organism in Eukaryota, Metazoa, Chordata, Mammalia, Rodentia, Bathyergidae.
GUUCAUAUGACAUGGUAGCUGGCGUUCCCCCCAAGAUCAAGUGAUCCAAAGGAAGGAAGCUCAAGGUCUUUGAUAACCUAGUCUCAGAAGUUAUACACAUUGUCACUUCUGCUUUAUUCCAGUCCUUAGAGCUCCAGGGGAAGCAACUAAGUCAUUGUUACCCUGUUGGGUAUUUGGAUUUGAAUGUUCUGACAAGAAGUGGCAAGAAACACAGAAGUCUUGGGUCAUACACUGGAUAGUGAAAAAAUACCUACGCAGUUGGGUCUUGGCAGUGCCAACUUUUGUAGAUUUCAUCACUGGGUUCAUUACUGUGGCUUCUGGUGGGGUUCAGUGUACUGGAACCAUCAAAAGACAAGUCACUACAUGGUGGAGGGAAGGGUAGGCUCUUCUCUACCACAUUGUCAUCUCUCCACCAAAGGCUGCGGCUCCAGCCAGGAAGCCCUCUCCAGUUUCUUUCUUGGCUUCCUGACUUUGCCAGGAGAACAAACCUGGAUUGGCCUGGUGAAGAAUGAGAGACACCUGGAGAAGAGGGGAGGAGCCUUAACCAUAGCUAGCCAACUCAAAACUGAGCUACCCAGAGGGCCCACAAUGACCACCGUCACACAAGGAGCCAAGAUUAGAG